RNAcentral lists this ribosomal RNA (1506 nucleotides) under Triticum aestivum (bread wheat). RNAcentral's name for it is "partial small subunit ribosomal RNA". Lineage: Eukaryota; Viridiplantae; Streptophyta; Magnoliopsida; Poales; Poaceae. The record is from RNAcentral.
AUGGAGGUGCUAAGCGUGUGCUUUGUGGUCGUUGCUACACUGUCCGCCACUUGGCUUCUCAAGCUCGCUGCACUUUCUUGUAAUAGUAUCAAGGCCAAGAAGCGGAUGGUGCUGCCUCCCGGGCCAUGGACUCUCCCGAUUAUCGGGAGCCUCCACCAUGUCAUCAGCCUUCUCCCGCAUCGCACGAUGAUGGAGCUUUCUCGCCGACACGGGCCGGUGAUGCUUUUGAGGCUAGGUGAGGUACCCACCGUAGUAGUUUCCAGCGCCAAGGCGGCGGCGCAGGUGAUGAAGACUAAUGAUCUCGUGUUCGCGAGCCGGCCAUUAAGCCCAACACAGGACAUCAUAAGCUGCGGCGGAAAGGGCAUCGCCUUAGCACCCUACGGUGACCACUGGCGUCAGAUGCGGAAGGUGUGCAUCCUGGAGCUCCUCAGCUCCAAGCAGGUGAACCGCAUGGAGGGCAUCAGGGCUGAGGAGGUGGGUAAUCUCCUCCGCACCGUCGCCGCCGCGCCGGCGGCCGACCCAGUCAACCUCAGCAAGAAGGUGUCGGCCCUCAGCAACAACAUCGUGUGUCGGGCUGUGUUCGGUAGCAGGUGCACGCGACAGGGUGAGUACCUCCGCGAGCACGACAAGAUCCUCGCGCUGCUUAGCGGUUUCUGCCUCGCCGACCUCUUCCCGUCGUCGCGGUUGGUGCGGUGGCUGAGUAAUGGUGAGAGACGCAUGAAGAGAAGCCACGACCGUAUCCAUCUCAUCAUUGCCGACAUUGUCGAGAGGCGCAAGGCGGUGCGAGCUUCCGGCGACGUUGUCUGCAGCACCGACUAUGAUCUGCUGGACGUGCUGCUCAGGCUGCAGGAAGAGGACUCCCUGGCAUUCCCCAUAAACAUGGAGACUAUAAGCCUCGUUAUCUUUGAAAUGUUUGGUGCUGCCACUGAGACCACAGCAGCCACUUUGGAGUGGGCUAUGUCGGAGCUCGUGGCAAACCAUGAUACUAUGGCCAAGGCACAGUUAGAGGUGCGUGAGCUGCUAGGUGAAGACCGAGCGGUCAUCACCAAUACAAACCUCGGCGAACUCCACUACUUGCAUAUGGUAAUUAAGGAGGUCCUCCGGAUGCAUCCUCCUCUUCCCCUGCUCCUCCCUAGAGAGACCAGAGAGGACAUGCCCAAAGGCACAAAUCUCUUUGUAAAUGCAUAUGCAAUUUCUCGAGAUCCUGAAUAUUGGGAUGACCCCGAAGAGUUUAAGCCAAGCAGGUUUGAAAACAAAAACGUGGAUUAUCAAGGGACAAACUUUGAAUUCACCCCCUUCGGGGCUGGGCGACGGCAGUGUCCCGGGAUGCUGUUCGGCACAUCGACUGUGGAGAUUGUAUUGGCAAAUCUUCUCUAUCACUUUGACUGGGUGCUUCCUAACGGGGCAGGCGCAGAGUCACUAGACAUGACCGAGAAGUCCGGGAUAAUUGUGCGUCGAAUGUCUGCCCUGCAGCUUAUGGCUAUUCCACAUGCAUGUAACCUCUAG